Molecule: long non-coding RNA, 659 nt
Filed under: Cyanistes caeruleus (blue tit)
Lineage: Eukaryota; Metazoa; Chordata; Aves; Passeriformes; Paridae
Description: lncRNA (ENSCCEG00000012784.1)
Source: RNAcentral
AACAAAAACAGAAAAACAGGCAUUUCUUGCCACUGGGUCUUAGCUUCAGUUUUCAGCUAGUGCAUAUCUUAUACUGCAAAAUUCAAUGCUCCUUGUUUUGGUAAGAAGACCUUAAUAUGUUUGCUCUCUUCACAGGUCUCAGCUCUCACCUUGCAAAUGUAUGUGUAACAUCUGCCUUUACAUUCCUAUGUGUAGCCAGAGUACAGUCAAGCUGAAGUAAAGCACAUUUGCAAGUGAGGGAAGAGUUACUUUCCAGGGACACUGUCUGACAAAGAACUAAUGCAACAAGCAGAUUCUACAGGACAAUUUUCCAGGACAUUGUAUUCCUCAAAUUUGAUGCUUUUACAGACAUGGUUUUCUCCCUCUGCAUGCUGCAAUGCAGUGAACACGAGCCCAUGCUAAAUCCCAAAUGCCUGGCUACUUUCUGCAGAGCAUGAAUGGCCUUUCAAACCACCACUGGUCCCCAGCUCCCCAUCCAUGCUGUCUGUCCAAGAAGACUCUUUUAUGCCAAAACUACAGGCUCAACCCUUCCUUGGAAGGCAAAUGUUUUUACUGCACAGGUGUCCACUACAAGCUGUAUACAGUGUUUUCUACCCAAAGUUGUCUCAUAUACACCCAAUUCUGAAGGCAAAGGAAAUCCAUCAAAUCAAAUCCAAGAU